Molecule: ribosomal RNA, 1064 nt
Filed under: Procambarus clarkii (red swamp crayfish)
Lineage: Eukaryota; Metazoa; Arthropoda; Malacostraca; Decapoda; Cambaridae
Description: SSU rRNA
Rfam family: Eukaryotic small subunit ribosomal RNA
Source: RNAcentral
AAACCGCGAAUGGCUCAUUAAAUCAGCUAUGUUUCAUUGGAUCUGUAAACCCACUUACUUGGAUAACUGUGGUAAUUCUAGAGCUAAUACAUGCAUCACGUCUCUGACCGCAAGGGAAGAGCACUUUUAUUAGUUCAAAACUGGUCGGGCCUCGGUCCGUUAACCCUCCCGUGGUGAAUCUGAAUAACUUUUUGCUGAGCGCACGGUCUCCGCACCGGCGCCGCAUCCUUCAAGUGUCUGCCUUAUCAGCUUUCGAUUGUAGGUUAUGCGCCUACAAUGGCUAUAACGGGUAACGGGGAAUCAGGGUUCGAUUCCGGAGAGGGAGCCUGAGAAACGGCUACCACAUCUAAGGAAGGCAGCAGGCACGCAAAUUACCCACUCCCGGCACGGGGAGGUAGUGACGAAAAAUAACGAUGCGAGACUCAUCCGAGGCCUCGCAAUCGGAAUGAGUACACUUUAAAUCCUUUAACGAGGAUCUAUUGGAGGGCAAGUCUGGUGCCAGCAGCCGCGGUAAUUCCAGCUCCAAUAGCGUAUAUUAAAGUUGUUGCGGUUAAAAAGCUCGUAGUUGGAUCUCAGUUCCGGACUGACGGUACACCGCCUGGUGCUUACUGUCACGCUCCGAACAGCUAACUAGCCCCGCCGGCUCGCACGGGGUGCUCUUCAUCGAGUGUCCCGAGUGGCCGGCACGUUUACUUUAAAAAAAUUAGAGUGCUCAGAGCAGGCUACUUUAAUGGCCUGAAUGUCUAUGCAUGGAAUAAUGGAAUAGGACCUCGGUUCUAUUUUGUUGGUUUUCGGAACCUGAGGUAAUGACUAAUAGGAACAGGCGGGGGCAUUCGUACUGCGACGCUAGAGGUGAAAUUCUUGGACCGUCGCAAGACGAACUACUGCGAAAGCAUUUGCCAAGGAUGUUUUCAUUAAUCAAGAACGAAAGUUAGAGGUUCGAAGGCGAUCAGAUACCGCCCUAGUUCUAACCAUAAACGAUGCCAACUAGCGAUCCGCCGGCGUUAUUCCCAUGACCCGGCGGGCAGCUUCCGGGAAACCAAAGUCUUUGGGUUCCGGGGGAA